This is a long non-coding RNA of Anopheles coluzzii, 1378 nucleotides long. RefSeq lists it as uncharacterized. The transcript is spliced from 2 exons. Lineage: Eukaryota; Metazoa; Arthropoda; Insecta; Diptera; Culicidae. The record is from RefSeq and is a predicted model, not a curated record.
UUGAAAAAAAAUAAUACUUUAAAAAUGGAAUUUUACCAACACGCUAUCUCGAAUCGCUCCUUUAGUUGGCACUCAUCGACAUUGGUCGUGUAGUAUUCGUACACCACUCACGCGCUGCGUUUUUGAGAGCUCUAUUCGGGUGCUUCAGGGCAUGCGCUCGGGUUGCGUGAGUGCUCCACGAGGGCCUCCUGGUACAAUGCAUGCCACUGUUUUAUGUGCAACAUAUUUUAGGCGUUUUUGAAUGUUUUGAUGUGCUUAUUAGAAGAAAAGGCUGCUAUAACGUGAUUUAAAAUCAUGAAAUAUUAACGUUGGCAUCAUAUGAUACAUAAAUCUAGCUAUAUAAAGCAGUCUUGGCUGUAAUUCACGUGUAUAAUUGUGAUAAAUACGAAUGUUUAGAAAUUUUCAGUUCGAAUAAAUGUUGAUUUUUAGUUUUAAAUUAUUACCAUGCCCUUUCGUGUUAAACAUUGCUAUUUUACACUUUUUUGUAUUUGUUAAAUAAAAUAAUUUUCUUUUCAAUCUAACCUAAUUAGUAAGCCGGCAGUGUAAAUUCUGGCUCACUCGGGAGGAAAAUGAGCUCUACUACUUCUAAAAUUGGCAUGCGCUACGACUUUGAGCACCUUUGAGUGUCAUAAAACCGGUUAUUUGGCACUCACAGAUCAUGAGAUGCUUGGCAAUUUAUCCAUUCCCCACUGUGCCGGUAUUGCCAAUGGUCACUCACUUAGUUAUAAUUGGAUUCUCGGCUCAGCCGGCCGGUCGCUAAUUGAACAGCACGUGAUAGCAAAGAGCUGCGUUCGCCUAAAACUGUUUAACGAAUUGCAGCACUCAUUUUGUGGAGCUCUUCAAGUUGGAUCCCAAAUAUGCACGGAGUGAGUCUGUCUGCUCGUGGGGGUAAACUUAACCCUUACAUCAAACAGAAACAUACCUUGCUACAAUUCACCAAUAUCAUUUCACUUACUGAUUCACAUAUAGCAGGACAGCCAGGAUAGCGUAGUGCUCGAUCCAUACGAGACUAGUCAACCGUACACCGAAGGGUUAAGCCGGCCGGCUUGCAUGCACACACACAGUACUUUCACUCGCAAUAAAAUCCGUUAGGCUUGAAAUACCGGUCUGGUGGUACAGUCGUGAACUCGUACGACUAAACAACAUGCCCGCCAUGGGUUCAAGCCUCGAAUGGACCGUGGCCCCAUGCAUAGGACUUGACUAUCCUGUUAUGUGUAAUCAGUCAGGCGUUUAAACGACAUUGCGACGAACUCUAGUAUACAGAUGCGUGCCAGUAUGGACCUUGAAAAUACUGACCCCGCUGCUGAACUGCCUGCCAUGAUGGGUCAUUGAAAUUAAGUAGUGUAAAAGCAUUUUAAAUAAAACCCUUUAACACCAA